GCUAUAAAAUUCUGAGACUAAAUAUCAAAUUAAAGAAAGUACUAAUUGUCAGCGAUGGGGGAUGUACUGCUAUUUGCUUCUAGUGGUACUCACUGCUCAUUUCCUAUAUUCACUGGUAUAAAAAAAUUUCAAACACCCUCAAAAAAGCCUAUACUGGUGGUACCAGGAAAACGCUGAAAAUCAUUACUUUCUGUGUGGUGUCCAGCUCUUUUGGUUACAUCAUCACUUCGACCAUUCACUUUUAAAGAAAAACUUUUGUGGAACAAAAAUAUAAAGAUUUAUUUUUUUUCUUGGUGGCUUAGCACAGUGGCCUAAUGUGGCUGACCAUGUGCACCUGUUGUGUGAGUCACUUAGACGUGCUUUGUUUCUUGGUCACAGUUGAUCCCUCAACUCAAGCAUCUCACCCUCAAAAUGUUUGUUUGGGACCCAAGAGGCAAACCUUGAGAUGGGUUAUUUCUUUCACCUUGGAUUGGCUCAUCUGCUGGGAGUGGAGCCAAGCUGACAUUUCCUUUCCUUUUUGUCUGCCUAUCACUACGUAGAGGCAGCACAUAAGAGAGGGAAAGCCAUGCGCGUGGAGUCCAGCACAUCACCCAGAAGGCAGAUGUUCUAUCUCCAUUUUACUCAUUAAAACAAACAAAACCACACCUGGAUUGCCUGCAACUUUUAAAAGCCUUUCCACUGCACAGUGAAAGAAAACCACAAACUCCUUGUUUAAUAAGUGGGAUCACGUGCUUUUAACACGAGGAAAAGGUCAAUCUGAAGCAACUGAUAUGGAACUGCCAGAGUAGGAGUUGAAAAUCUUCCUAAACUGCUGGAGGAUACACCUCUGAUAGCUUGAGACAAAUAUCCUCUUGAUCAUUGUUUCACCAUAUUUGUCUUUGCUCAUGGAGAACCAUUUUGAUCCGUGGUUUAGCCUCCCAGGUGAUUGAACAAUACCGGUGAUCUGAGGCAGACCCUCUGUGACGGAUAACAGAAAAGAAAAUUGAGGAUCAGAAAAUACGCACAAUUUGCAAAAACCAUGGGAAAGAAUAUUGAUUGAACAUCUACUCAAGAACUGCAAAACAGAGAUUACCUGACCUAAAGCAUUUAUAUUGCCAAUCAUGUUGGAGAGUCCAUGUGGUGAUUUCUGAAAACGAGAUGUGAGAAAGAAGAGGAUAAUUUAAGUCUAGACCUACAGAUUGUGCUGAUAAAGUGAUGAAGAACUACAAUCUUCUUAGUCAUUUCAUUGUAUAAGUGCAAUAAAGGAUUUUGUGUCUUUCCUGGCAAACAACUUGUGACCACAGUGAUGGCUCCAGCAGAAUGGAAAAGACCCUUUACCUCACAUCUCAGAAGUAAAGAUGCUGAUUAUUUGACAUCGCCAUUGGAAUCUCAAAACAGUGUAAAGCAUUUGCUAAAAAGAGUCACUUUCUGAGAAAUGACUCAGAAUUCGACUUACGUACUAGCAGAACUUAUUGCCCAUAAAAGGAAAGGCCACACUUUUUGUGAAAACUUAAUAAUCCCUAGGAUGUAAAAUUAUACUGAGUUAAAUCCUAGUCCCAUUUUUAGUACAAGAAACUGGAAAAAAAUAAUCCACUCUCAAAUGGUAAGACAAAUUGAGAUAUUGCUGAAAAGCCUCUUGACCCUGAAAAGUUCUGAAUAAUAAACUGAUAAAAGCAGCAGCAGCAUCUAACUUGACACCAGUCAUGUCAUUUG
Molecule: long non-coding RNA, 1692 nt
Filed under: Homo sapiens (human)
Lineage: Eukaryota; Metazoa; Chordata; Mammalia; Primates; Hominidae
Description: PREDICTED lncRNA (TCONS_00025431)
Source: RNAcentral